GACGAACGCUGGCGGCGUGCCUAAUACAUGCAAGUCGAGCGAGUCUGCCUUGAAGAUCGGAGUGCUUGCACUCUGUGAAACAAGAUACAGGCUAGCGGCGGACGGGUGAGUAACACGUGGGUAACCUGCCCAAGAGAUCGGGAUAACACCUGGAAACAGAUGCUAAUACCGGAUAACAACAGAUGAUGCCUAUCAACUGUUUAAAAGAUGGUUCUGCUAUCACUCUUGGAUGGACCUGCGGUGCAUUAGCUAGUUGGUAGGGUAACGGUCUACCAAGGCGAUGAUGCAUAGCCGAGUUGAGAGACUGAUCGGCCACAUUGGGACUGAGACACGGCCCAAACUCCUACGGGAGGCAGCAGUAGGGAAUCUUCCACAAUGGACGCAAGUCUGAUGGAGCAACGCCGCGUGAGUGAAGAAGGGUUUCGGCUCGUAAAGCUCUGUUGUUGGUGAAGAAGGACAGGGGUAGUAACUGACCUUUGUUUGACGGUAAUCAAUUAGAAAGUCACGGCUAACUACGUGCCAGCAGCCGCGGUAAUACGUAGGUGGCAAGCGUUGUCCGGAUUUAUUGGGCGUAAAGCGCGCGUAGGCGGCUCCAUAAGUCUGAUGUGAAAGCCUUCGGCUCAACCGGAGAAUUGCAUUGGAAACUGGAAAACUUGAGUGCAGAAGAGGAAAGUGGAAUUCCAUGUGUAGCGGUGAAAUGCGCAGAGAUAUGGAGGAACACCAGUGGCGAAGGCGACUUUCUGGUCUGUAACUGACGCUGAUGUGCGAAAGCGUGGGGAUCAAACAGGAUUGGAUACCCUGGUAGUCCACGCCGUAAACGAUGAGUGCUAAGUGUUAGGGGGUUUCCGCCCCUUAGUGCUGCAGCUAACGCAUUAAGCACUCCGCCUGGGGAGUACGACCGCAAGGUUGAAACUCAAAGGAAUUGACGGGGACCCGCACAAGCGGUGGAGCAUGUGGUUUAAUUCGAAGCAACGCGAAGAACCUUACCAAAUCUUGACAUCCUUUGACAACUCUAGAGAUAGAGCCUUCCCCUUCGGGGGACAAAGUGACAGGUGGUGCAUGGUUGUCGUCAGCUCGUGUCGUGAGAUGUUGGGUUAAGUCCCGCAACGAGCGCAACCCUUAAGCUUAGUUGCCAUCAUUAAGUUGGGCACUCUAAGUUGACUGCCGGUGACAAACCGGAGGAAGGUGGGGAUGACGUCAAAUCAUCAUGCCCCUUAUGAUUUGGGCUACACACGUGCUACAAUGGACAAUACAAAGGGCAGCGAAACCGCGAGGUCAAGCAAAUCCCAUAAAGUUGUUCUCAGUUCGGAUUGUAGUCUGCAACUCGACUACAUGAAGCUGGAAUCGCUAGUAAUCGUAGAUCAGCAUGCUACGGUGAAUACGUUCCCGGGUCU
Molecule: ribosomal RNA, 1394 nt
Filed under: uncultured bacterium
Lineage: Bacteria
Description: partial 16S ribosomal RNA
Rfam family: Bacterial small subunit ribosomal RNA
Source: RNAcentral